UACGAAGGGGGCUAGCGUUGCUCGGAAUCACUGGGCGUAAAGCGCACGUAGGCGGCUUCUUAAGUCAGGGGGUGAAAUCCUGGAGCUCAACUCCAGAACUGCCUUUGAUACUGGGAGCUUCGAGUCCGGAAGAGGUGAGUGGAACUGCGAGUGUAGAGGUGAAAUUCGUAGAUAUUCGCAAGAACACCAGUGGCGAAGGCG
Molecule: ribosomal RNA, 201 nt
Filed under: uncultured bacterium
Lineage: Bacteria
Description: partial 16S ribosomal RNA
Rfam family: Bacterial small subunit ribosomal RNA
Source: RNAcentral